GAGAGUGAUCUAGCUGCCAUAUCACGCCCCACAGUGUUGAUGUGGCUGACUUGGCUGCCUAGGCAGGUGCUCCCUUCCUCCAUAACUAGCCCAUGUACAUCUGUCCUGAAAGUACACACUUGAUGGAAGAGGAUGAUUGUCCCCAAAUGAAGAGGACCAUUACCUCUCUCAAUCAUAUACAAGUAUUGUGCUAUUGCACGGUCUAGUGCAAGUCUGUAUCAGGAAGCAGAUGGGCUUGCAUGGAAAGUCUAAAAGUGAAUGCUAGAAGACUGAAAGCUACGUGCUGAAGAGUCUGUGCUGU
This 301-nucleotide small RNA is filed under the name Octodon degus (degu). RNAcentral describes it as "7SK RNA (ENSODEG00000022326.1)". The record is from RNAcentral. Lineage: Eukaryota; Metazoa; Chordata; Mammalia; Rodentia; Octodontidae.